RNAcentral lists this long non-coding RNA (631 nucleotides) under Serinus canaria (Common canary). RNAcentral's name for it is "lncRNA (ENSSCAG00000009729.1)". The record is from RNAcentral. Lineage: Eukaryota; Metazoa; Chordata; Aves; Passeriformes; Fringillidae.
GAGAGCCUGGCACAGCCUUGCUGCCCUGCCCUGCUGGAUCACACAGGUGGCACAGGAUGCUCAUCCCUUGGGUGUCCCCCGUGUCCCUGCUGGGCUGCUUCACCUGCUCCCAGUGCGGAAUUCUUUGCUUUUCUCACCUGCCAGUUGCAGCUGGUGCUCUGGCAGUCAGAGCCUUCCUGGCACAGGGAUCUGGGGACAUAAAUUCCAGAUGAGCACCUUUGAUUCCCUCAGACAAUGAUAAUGCAGAGAUGAUUGACACCUACAGCUUGGGAAGAGAUGUGCUCAGCACUGAUCCCAGAGGAUGUGCCUUUCAGCAGGAAGCAGGAGAAGCAGAGCAGAUCCAUGUGCAGCCCCAGGUGUGUUCCAGGAGUUCUGGGAGCUGGGAAGAGCAUCUGUCUUUGAGCCAGGUCUGCUCCCAGAGGAGGUGGAGGACACGGCAGUGAAACUGGAUGUUGUGUUCUCACCAUAUAAGAGAGACUAAAAAUAGCUUGGAGGAGUUGUGGAAAAUCCUGUGUUCCUGAAGUAUCUUUUGAUGUCUCUUUAUCUCAGGAUAGGAUGGGAUUUUUUGGUUGGGAUUUUUUUGUUUUGUUUUGGUUUGGUUUUGUUUGGUUUGGUUUGUUUUUUGGGGAGG